GGUCGUGAGUGCCACAUUGGGGGUAGAGAUUACUUUAAAAAAUAAAGAAAAAACUAAAAAAAAAAAAAAACCCCACACAAACAAAACUAUGGACUUUCCUCCCACACCCCCGCAAAUUGCAGAGAAAUAUACAGAAUUUUACGUAAAAUUUGAAGGGAUAUGUGGGCACUCUCCCUGAUGCCCAUGUGUAAACCUCAUGUUAAGUACUCCUAAUCAGAAGUGAUAUAUCCUAUAAUAGUGGUUGUAUAAUUGCUGUGGGACUUGAGGAAAGGAUUUCAUUAACUCUACCACAGGGUAUCAAGGAAAGCCUCAUUGAAAGGUGACUUUUGAUCUGAAACAUAAUGAUUGAAUAGGGGUUUCCUAGACUAUCAAGGGUGGAGGAAGGGCAUUUUAGGUCGAAUGGUCCAGUUAACCUGAAAGCCAGUUUAUCCUGCAAGCCUCUUUGAUCAUUUGCCUGUGUAUUCACUCUUUCUUGAACCUCUUUGGGCUUCCUGCUACCCUUCUAUGCUUUCCCUUACCCCCAUUCAUCCGCUUACCAUUGUCUCUCGUGCCAAUUCUUUGCACUGUGUUUUCUGGAAAGCUAAUUCCAUUGUGGACACACUCUAUUGUACUCUAGACUUCCUCCUCUAAUUAUCCCUCUACUUUUUUUUUAACUGAAGCUUUGCUUUUCCCCCUAAGUAUGCCCCCCUUAUUACCAUGGCUCUUGAGUGGGAGCCUCCCAUAAUUUUAUUUAAUCAAUGUUACUUACUGAUGAAGGGUUAUGUUGUUUCCAGUUUUUUUGCUGUUACAAACAAUACCACAAUGUUCAUCCUUACAUGUAUGUUUGUUGUAUGUGUUAUAUAUUUGUAGGAUAGAUUUAUGGAAUUGGAACUGCUGAAUCAGAUGGCAUGAACAUUAAGAAAUUUGAUAAGUACUGCCAAAUUGUUAUCAGAAGGUUUGUUCUUAUGUGCAUUCUUACCAACCAUAAAUGAGAGUGUGCAUAUUCUUAUACCUCACCAAUAUUGCAGAGUUACUAAUUUCUUUUUAAGUCGUUAGUCAUUUUAUUUGCUUCACAGAAGACAUCAUCCUCAUUUUUUACCCUCAGAUGAAAAGUUCCUCCUUUGAGGCUCAUGCCUUCUGGCAGUACUACCUUUUAUUUCUUCUUGAUAUAGUCACUUAUUAACUUCUUUUUUUAUUUCCUUAUAUUCUCUGAGGACUUGGAUAUCUGGCUUGUUUUCUCCCAUCUACCCAAACUGCUGCCCUUUACCUGCUGGCCAGUCACAGUGCUCUGUGAUUCAAUUGGCCAAGCAACACUCUAGCUUCAUAGUUCCCUGACCAGCUAGCGUUCUUCUUCUCCAUGCUACUUCUGCUGCAAAAUUGUUCUACCAGAUGCGAGGUUUGGUCAUUUCCCAGAAUUACUCUACUUGCAAAUAUAAAAUUCUAUUAUUUCAUUCUCUGUCCUCAACUUCAGAUUGUUCGAACUUCCUCACUAUCUUAAUCCUUUUGCAAUUGCCCUUCAGAUCCAUAACCCCUCCGUUUUUUUCCAAAACAUGUGCUCUAAUUAUUUUAAAAGUAAUAUAUAUUAUAAAAGAUUUGCUUCACAACCUAAAUCUACAACCUAGGUAGUAUAAGGCUCUUGUAAUCCUAUCAUUCCGAGAUAACCACUGUUAAGAAUUUGGUGUAAGUCUUCCAGAAUUUUGCCUAUGUAUAUAUUUUUAUACAAUUUUUAUAAUAAUAGGCACAAAAUACAUUUUAUACACUAUUUGCAACUUCCUUUUUUACAUAAUAUUACUUAGGACAUUUUUAUCAUUUUACUACAUAUAACAUCAAUGCAUUACUUUUUAAAUUUUAAUUUAAUUUUUAAAAUUGAGAUGUAAUUUACAUGUAACAUUAUAUUAGUCUCAGGUGUACAACAUAAUGAUCCCUUACUUGUGUAUAUUGCAAAAUGAUCACCACACUAGUUAACAUCUGUCAUCAUACAUAGUUAUGAAAUUUUUUUCUUGUGAUGAGAAUUUUUAAGAUUUACUCUCGGGGGUCCCUGGGUGGCUCAGCAGUUUAGCGCCUGCCUUUGGCCCAGGGUGUGAUCCUGGAGUCCUGGGAUUGAGUCUCAUAUUGGGCUCCCUGCAUGGAGCCUGCUUCUCCCUCUGCCUGUGUCUCUGCCUCUCUCUCUCUCUCUCUGUGUGUGUCUCUCAUGAA
RNAcentral lists this long non-coding RNA (2175 nucleotides) under Canis lupus familiaris (dog). RNAcentral's name for it is "lncRNA (ENSCAFG00000055864.1)". Lineage: Eukaryota; Metazoa; Chordata; Mammalia; Carnivora; Canidae. The record is from RNAcentral.